GCGGAGGUGCUGGAAUGGAAGACAGGCAUGUUUGAGGGGCAUGUGCAAUUAUUUGCGUGAGGGUUCAAGUCCCUUUCUCCGCACCA
This 86-nucleotide transfer RNA is filed under the name Anaerosphaera aminiphila DSM 21120. RNAcentral's name for it is "tRNA_Leu_GAG". It matches the Rfam family "tRNA". Rfam says of the family: Transfer RNA (tRNA) molecules are approximately 80 nucleotides in length. Their secondary structure includes four short double-helical elements and three loops (D, anti-codon, and T loops). Lineage: Bacteria; Bacillati; Bacillota; Tissierellia; Tissierellales; Peptoniphilaceae. The record is from RNAcentral.